This 253-nucleotide ribosomal RNA is filed under the name uncultured Eubacteriales bacterium. RNAcentral describes it as "uncultured Clostridiales bacterium partial 16S ribosomal RNA". It matches the Rfam family "Bacterial small subunit ribosomal RNA", at positions 524 to 776 of the family's 1533-position model. Lineage: Bacteria; Bacillati; Bacillota; Clostridia; Eubacteriales. The record is from RNAcentral.
UACGGAGGAUGCGAGCGUUAUCCGGAUUUAUUGGGUUUAAAGGGUGCGUAGGCGGUCGGAUAAGUUAGAGGUGAAAUCCCAUGGCUUAACCAUGGAACUGCUUUGGAAACUGUGCAGCUGGAGUGCAGGAGAGGUAAGCGGAAUUCCUAGUGUAGCGGUGAAAUGCGUAGAUAUUAGGAGGAACACCAGUGGCGAAGGCGGCUUACUGGACUGUAACUGACGUUGAGGCUCGAAAGCGUGGGGAGCAAAAAGG